This 333-nucleotide ribosomal RNA is filed under the name Triticum aestivum (bread wheat). RNAcentral describes it as "partial small subunit ribosomal RNA". Lineage: Eukaryota; Viridiplantae; Streptophyta; Magnoliopsida; Poales; Poaceae. The record is from RNAcentral.
AUGGUGGCGCCGAUCGCGGUGGCGUCGGCGGGGCUGGGGAUGCUGGCGGGGGUGGCGAUGGCCAACAGGUCCAUGCAGGAGGGAAGGCCCGCGGCGGCGGUGCGGUGGCCGCUGCUGCAGAAGCCGCGAUGCGCCACAUGCAGCGGGACGGGAAGGGUUGAGUGCCUGUGCUCUCGGUGGUCCGACGGGGACGGCUCAGGCUGCCGGACCUGCGCGGGCACCCGGAGGAUGCCUUGCCGGAGCUGCGGUGGGUCCGGGACCGGACGUCGGGCGCCCGUGCGGAUCGCCACCGCCUCCGCCACGCCGCUCCGGCCACGGGCGAGCACGCGGUGA